UUGUGAGGUUAAGCGACUAAGCGUACACGGUGGAUGCCCUGGCAGUCAGAGGCGAUGAAGGACGUGCUAAUCUGCGAUAAGCGUCGGUGAGGUGAUAUGAACCGUUAUAACCGGCGAUUUCCGAAUGGGGAAACCCAGUGUGUUUCGACACACUAUCAUUAACUGAAUCCAUAGGUUAAUGAGGCGAACCGGGGGAACUGAAACAUCUAAGUACCCCGAGGAAAAGAAAUCAACCGAGAUUCCCCCAGUAGCGGCGAGCGAACGGGGAGGAGCCCAGAGCCUGAAUCAGUGUGUGUGUUAGUGGAAGCGUCUGGAAAGGCGUGCGAUACAGGGUGACAGCCCCGUACACAAAAAUGCACAUAUUGUGAGCUCGAUGAGUAGGGCGGGACACGUGGUAUCCUGUCUGAAUAUGGGGGGACCAUCCUCCAAGGCUAAAUACUCCUGACUGACCGAUAGUGAACCAGUACCGUGAGGGAAAGGCGAAAAGAACCCCGGCGAGGGGAGUGAAAAAGAACCUGAAACCGUGUACGUACAAGCAGUGGGAGCCUCUUAAUGGGGUGACUGCGUACCUUUUGUAUAAUGGGUCAGCGACUUAUAUUCUGUAGCAAGGUUAACCGAAUAGGGGAGCCGAAGGGAAACCGAGUCUUAACUGGGCGUUAAGUUGCAGGGUAUAGACCCGAAACCCGGUGAUCUAGCCAUGGGCAGGUUGAAGGUUGGGUAACACUAACUGGAGGACCGAACCGACUAAUGUUGAAAAAUUAGCGGAUGACUUGUGGCUGGGGGUGAAAGGCCAAUCAAACCGGGAGAUAGCUGGUUCUCCCCGAAAGCUAUUUAGGUAGCGCCUCGUGAAUUCAUCUCCGGGGGUAGAGCACUGUUUCGGCAAGGGGGUCAUCCCGACUUACCAACCCGAUGCAAACUGCGAAUACCGGAGAAUGUUAUCACGGGAGACACACGGCGGGUGCUAACGUCCGUCGUGAAGAGGGAAACAACCCAGACCGCCAGCUAAGGUCCCAAAGUCAUGGUUAAGUGGGAAACGAUGUGGGAAGGCCCAGACAGCCAGGAUGUUGGCUUAGAAGCAGCCAUCAUUUAAAGAAAGCGUAAUAGCUCACUGGUCGAGUCGGCCUGCGCGGAAGAUGUAACGGGGCUAAACCAUGCACCGAAGCUGCGGCAGCGACACUAUGUGUUGUUGGGUAGGGGAGCGUUCUGUAAGCCUGUGAAGGUGGCCUGUGAGGGUUGCUGGAGGUAUCAGAAGUGCGAAUGCUGACAUAAGUAACGAUAAAGCGGGUGAAAAGCCCGCUCGCCGGAAGACCAAGGGUUCCUGUCCAACGUUAAUCGGGGCAGGGUGAGUCGACCCCUAAGGCGAGGCCGAAAGGCGUAGUCGAUGGGAAACAGGUUAAUAUUCCUGUACUUGGUGUUACUGCGAAGGGGGGACGGAGAAGGCUAUGUUGGCCGGGCGACGGUUGUCCCGGUUUAAGCGUGUAGGCUGGUUUUCCAGGCAAAUCCGGAAAACCAAGGCUGAGGCGUGAUGA
RNAcentral lists this ribosomal RNA (1529 nucleotides) under Escherichia coli. Its description in RNAcentral is "partial 23S ribosomal RNA". It matches the Rfam family "Bacterial large subunit ribosomal RNA", at positions 1 to 1569 of the family's 2925-position model. The record is from RNAcentral. Lineage: Bacteria; Pseudomonadati; Pseudomonadota; Gammaproteobacteria; Enterobacterales; Enterobacteriaceae.